This 1575-nucleotide long non-coding RNA is filed under the name Sus scrofa (pig). RNAcentral's name for it is "lncRNA (ENSSSCG00060000559.1)". Lineage: Eukaryota; Metazoa; Chordata; Mammalia; Artiodactyla; Suidae. The record is from RNAcentral.
UUUUGUCUUUUCAGGACAGCACCCACGGCAAUAUGGAGGUUCCCAGGCUAGGUAGGGGUCCAACUGGAGCUUUAGCCACCAGCCUACACCACAGCCACAGCAAUGCCAGAUCCAAGCCACAUCUGGGACCUACACCACAGCUCACGGCAACGUCGGAUCCUUAACCCACUGAGCAGGGCCAGGGAUCGAACCUGCAACCUCAUGGUUCCUAGUCAGAUUGGUUUCUGCUGUGCCACAACGGGAACUCCCAGUAGUUUGUUUUUGACUGGGUUAUUGAAGAGGAAUGACUGGUCUCGAAAACUCUAAACAAACCCUGCCCAAGAGUCAUAAAGUCCAGUUGAUACCACUUAAAGUUCCUUUGCAAGAAUUUCCAGGAAAGUUCUUUUUUGAAAUUGUGGCAUUUGUUAUUACGCAUGGUGCUCCAAACACCACUGAUUGAUGCGCAGAGAGUUAACAGUAAUCAGACUCUGCCCUAAACAGCUUCUAUUCUGUGGAAGAGACAACCCAUCCAUGACCCAUGCCCCAAAAAAAUUUGUACUAAAAUCUGUCUGGAAUGAAAAAUCAAGCCUUCAAAAAUAGAGCCAAUAAUAGUAAAACAUGCAAUAUUCUAAAGUUGGACUAUUGCUAUGGCCGCACCAAAUCUCUGCUAGUCAGAGGUAUUUUAGUUUAGGAUUUUUACCCACCUUCGAAGGGUAUUGACUUACUAGAAAAAAAUUUCACUGUGCCAGCUCACGGGUGAGUCCAAGAGAGGCCUUGGGGAUAGGGCUGCUAGAUUUAGCAAAUAAAAUGCAGGAUGCCCAUUAAGUUUGAAUUUCUCAGAAAUAAUGAAUAAUUUUUUGGUGUGCACAUUUCAAAGAAUAUUCAUAGUUUAUCUGAAAUUCAAAUUUAAUUGGGCUUCCUGUACUACUCAAGGAGGCAACCCCACUCAAGGAGGACAAAAAGGAGAACAGAUUAGAUAGUUAAUUUGCCCACCAAGACUCACUUAACUUCUUCAGGCUUAACCUGGCAUGUUUAUAGCUCUGGAAGGGACAGCCCUUUACACAAUGAGAUUCUGGUCUCUCAACCUUGUGUGAACCAAAAGUAGACAAGUUGGCAUCCUGGGAGCACAUACAUUAGCCUGCCAGCAGACUGGAUCUCCUGAAAAUUUUCAGUAGAACACACAGAGACUCUGAUGAGAGAACUAUGUGGAUGCUUGAAUUAAAUGAGUUCGAGUCAGGCUGGGAAGGCCUGUUAGGUAGAAAGUAGAAGGUGACAGGCAAAAGCAAAGAGGAGGUAGAGAGAAGCAUAGAAGAGAGACACUACAUGGUCAUUAAGAGAAAGGGCAAGAAAGCUCAGCUUCUGCUUGCCAAGUCCAGUCUCACUUACUCUGUACUUUAUAGGCCAGAUAGCUGUAAUACUGUCUGUCGUAUUCUUAUAAUAAAUUCCCCCUCUUUGGCUAGCUUGAAAGAGUUUCCACUCUUUGCCACCACUGAUCCUUGACUACGAAAUGGUAUGACCUCUUAAGGUCGGGACGAGAAUGACAAAUGGCUUUCAUCUCAGGUGAUCAGUCUGACCUAUUCACAUAAUUGUGCAGAG